UACAAAGAAGAUGGAAGAAAGGCUGCUGCC
Molecule: non-coding RNA, 30 nt
Filed under: Mus musculus (house mouse)
Lineage: Eukaryota; Metazoa; Chordata; Mammalia; Rodentia; Muridae
Source: RNAcentral